GUCGCUGCCUGCCGCGGCCCCUGCCGGCCGCCGUCGCUGCUGCUGCCGCCAUUUCUCAGUUUCCUUCAGCUCUGACUCAUAAUCAUCAGAAAAAGAUGCCAUGUAACCUACUGUCACAUUCUGAACAAAAAUGAGAUAUAUGAUGCCCACAUUCCUCUACCUCAGAGGGGAUCAGUAAGAAGACUAUUUCAACCUGUUAUAGUGACCAGACCCCUCCAUCCUUGACACUUGCUUUUAACUGCUGAAGCAACAGAAGGCUUCCUGCGGAGCCUCAGCCCUGCAGAGACUGCUGCGGGGACGCUCCCGGGCUGCUCGUCAUCCGUGGCCGACCUGCAGGAGAUGCUGUCAGUUUUGUGAAAAUAAAAGCAAAGAGAACAAAGUACCCAAGAAACGCAUGAUCUAAACAGUGCAGAUCUGAGUUUAGAUUACCUCGGUGUUGAUCAGUUUUCAGCCUAAUCACACUGGCAGUUUCCCCAUGACAGCUUACAGAUCCCCAAAAUAUCUAAAGGAAGUCACCUGUAGAAGACCAGCUAUAACUGGAAGGACAAUCUGAGCCAUACAU
This is a long non-coding RNA of Dromaius novaehollandiae (emu), 562 nucleotides long. RefSeq lists it as uncharacterized. The transcript is spliced from 4 exons. The record is from RefSeq and is a predicted model, not a curated record. NCBI's taxonomy places the organism in Eukaryota, Metazoa, Chordata, Aves, Casuariiformes, Dromaiidae.